CCAAUAGCGUAUAUUAAAGUUGUUGCAGUUAAAAAGCUCGUAGUUGAAUUUCGGGGUCAGCAGGUUGGUCGUGCCAAUGGUAUGCACUGGCCUUGCUGAUUCCUCCCUCUUGAUGAGCCGUAAUGUCAUUAAUUUGGUGUUGCGGGGAAUCAGGACUGUUACUUUGAAAAAAUUAGAGUGUUUAAAGCAGGCAAGCGCUUGAAUACAUUAGCAUGGAAUAAUGAAAUAGGACGUUCGAUCCUAUUUUGUUGGUUUCUAGGAUUGACGUAAUGAUUAAUAGGGAUAGUUGGGGGCAUUAGUAUUCAAUUGUCAGAGGUGAAAUUCUUGGAUUUAUUGAAGACUAACUACUGCGAAAGCAUUUGCCAAGGAUGUUUUCAUUAAUCAAGAACGAAAGUUAGGGGAUCGAAGACGAUCAGAUACCGUCGUAGUCUUAACCAUAAACUAUGCCGACUAGGGAUCGGAUGAUGUUAAUUUUUUAAUGACUCAUUCGGCGCCUUACG
RNAcentral lists this ribosomal RNA (500 nucleotides) under uncultured Glomus. RNAcentral describes it as "SSU rRNA". It matches the Rfam family "Eukaryotic small subunit ribosomal RNA", at positions 591 to 1092 of the family's 1831-position model. Lineage: Eukaryota; Fungi; Glomeromycota; Glomeromycetes; Glomerales; Glomeraceae. The record is from RNAcentral.